UAAUAAACGUCAAAUCCCAUUCAAUAAACCUCAUGAAGCCCAAAAUAGAACUCAAACGAAAAAGAAACAAAUUAAAAUGGAAUUGGACAUGUGCAUGCUUAGAAAAGAUGAAUUGAUGACAUGGAGGGCUAAGGAGAGUAGAAACCAUUCUUUAUAUAAUAAGAAGAUGAAUUUAUGACGUGGAGGACUAAGGAGAGAAGAAACCCUUCUUUAUAUAAUAACACUAGGGGAAAUCCGCGCUUCGCGCGGAAUAUGUUAUUUUGGUCUCUAAUUUUUUUACAUGGUUGUUAUAUUGUAUAUUUGCUUAUGUCAUGUUCUGUUUCUAGAUAUGUACUUAGAAAGUUGAUUCUCGUAGUAAAGUGUCUGGAUGUUGUGUACAUUACAUUACACCUCUC
RNAcentral lists this long non-coding RNA (395 nucleotides) under Brassica napus (rape). RNAcentral's name for it is "long non-coding RNA (BNAP_LNC013825)". The record is from RNAcentral. Lineage: Eukaryota; Viridiplantae; Streptophyta; Magnoliopsida; Brassicales; Brassicaceae.